Molecule: unclassified non-coding RNA, 186 nt
Filed under: uncultured Russula
Lineage: Eukaryota; Fungi; Basidiomycota; Agaricomycetes; Russulales; Russulaceae
Description: sequence contains ITS2
Source: RNAcentral
CAUUCUCAAAAAGAACCCUUCUCGGUCUUGCGAUCGGGAAAGGCCUCUUUUUGGACUUUGGAGGUUAUUGCUGGUCCCCCCUUGAUAGCCAGCUCCUCUUAAAUGAAUUAGUAGGGACCACUUUGCCGACCCUAGACGUGAUAAGAUGUUUCUGCGUCUUGGGUAUUCGCUCUGUCCUUUGGAAAC